CUGUUAUAUUAUCACCUUUCACCUCUCACAGCUGACUCUGAAGACAAUCGUCAUGAAGACUGCCAUCCUUAUUCUGUUCGUCCUGAUCGCUUGGGGCGCUGUCUCCGAUGUGGAAGCCUCGCCUUAUGCUCCCGUAAAGCGUGCACUCAGGGCUGCUGCCCAAGGGUUCGCUCCUUCGUCGCUGGAGGUCUCUGGCGGUCGGCGGUUCCGUAGGGGGAUGUGCGUCACAUCUUUCUUCCCUCACAUUCCCUACCCUUGCUGACGGCAGCCGAAUGGCGCUUUUCAAGAGGUCACCAAUACCAGUGGUUCUUACCGUGGUUACACAGUGGUUACCGUGAAAUAAAAAACAUUGAACGAGA
Long non-coding RNA from Ornithodoros turicata, 359 nucleotides. RefSeq lists it as uncharacterized. The record is from RefSeq and is a predicted model, not a curated record. The transcript has 3 exons. Lineage: Eukaryota; Metazoa; Arthropoda; Arachnida; Ixodida; Argasidae.